UACGUAGGUGGCAAGCGUUGUCCGGAUUUAUUGGGUUUAAAGGGUGCGUAGGCGGUCCUAUAAGUCAGUGCUGAAAUAUCCCGGCUUAACCGGGAGGGUGGCAUUGAUACUGCAGGACUUGAGCAAAGUUGAGGUUGGCGGAAUUGACGGUGUAGCGGUGAAAUGCUUAGAUAUCGUCAAGAACACCUAUUGCGAAGGCAGCUAACUAAGCUUUAACUGACGCUGAGGCACGAAAGUGUGGGGAUCAAACAGG
RNAcentral lists this ribosomal RNA (253 nucleotides) under uncultured bacterium. RNAcentral's name for it is "partial 16S ribosomal RNA". It matches the Rfam family "Bacterial small subunit ribosomal RNA", at positions 524 to 776 of the family's 1533-position model. The record is from RNAcentral.